This is a non-coding RNA of Phrynosoma platyrhinos (Desert horned lizard), 72 nucleotides long. The record is from the annotation of a GenBank genome assembly. NCBI's taxonomy places the organism in Eukaryota, Metazoa, Chordata, Lepidosauria, Squamata, Phrynosomatidae.
GCCAGCAUAGCAUAGUGGUUUGAAUACUGGACUAUGACUCUGGAGACCAGAGUUUGAUUCUCAGCUCAGCCA